This 254-nucleotide ribosomal RNA is filed under the name uncultured bacterium. Its description in RNAcentral is "partial 16S ribosomal RNA". It matches the Rfam family "Bacterial small subunit ribosomal RNA", at positions 524 to 776 of the family's 1533-position model. The record is from RNAcentral.
UACGUAGGGUGCAAGCGUUGUCCGGAAUUAUUGGGCGUAAAGGAGCUCGUAGGCGGUCUGUCGCGUCGGCUGUGAAAUCCCGGAGCUCAACUCCGGGUCUGCAGUCGAUACGGGCAAACUGGAGUACUGCAGGGGAGACUGGAAUUCCUGGUGUAGCGGUGAAAUGCGCAGAUAUCAGGAGGAACACCGGUGGCGAAGGCGGGUCUCUGGGCAGUAACUGACGCUGAGGAGCGAAAGCGUGGGGAGCGAACAGG